GAUGAAGAACGUAGCGAAAUGCGAUACUUGGUGUGAGUUGCAGAAUCCCGUGAACCAUCGAGUCUUUGAACGCAAGUUGCGCCUCAAGCCAUUAGGUUGAGGGCACGUCUGCCUGGGCGUCACAUAUCGUUGCCUGAUGCCAGUUUCCUCGUGAUGGGUGACUGUGCAGGGCGAAUGAUGGCUUCCCGUGAGCAUUGUUGCCUCAUGGUUGGUUGAAAAUUGAGUCCUUGGUAGGGAGCGCCGUGAUAGAUGGUGGUUGAGUGACGAACGAGACCCAAUCAUGUGAGACCCCUACCGAAUUUGGCCUUCAUGCCCCACAUGCGUCUUUGGAACGCUCAUGACGAGACCUCAGGUCAGGCGGGGCUACCCGCUGAGUUUAAGCAUAUCAAUAAGCGGAGGA
RNAcentral lists this unclassified non-coding RNA (400 nucleotides) under soil metagenome. RNAcentral's name for it is "partial contains 5.8S ribosomal RNA, internal transcribed spacer 2, and large subunit ribosomal RNA". The stretch from base 1 to 122 matches the Rfam family "5.8S ribosomal RNA", at positions 35 to 154 of the family's 154-position model. The record is from RNAcentral.